Molecule: ribosomal RNA, 636 nt
Filed under: Nyctibatrachus major (Malabar night frog)
Lineage: Eukaryota; Metazoa; Chordata; Amphibia; Anura; Nyctibatrachidae
Description: partial 16S ribosomal RNA
Rfam family: Bacterial large subunit ribosomal RNA (bases 1-445)
Source: RNAcentral
CAUGGUUAGACCAGUCUCAGUCAAGCAAAACAACUUACAGUUUGAUCCCCCGAAACUAAGUGAGCUUACUUCAAAGCAGCCCCCAAGGCCAACCCGUCCCUGUCGCAAAAGGGUGGAAAGACUUUCAAGUAGAGGUGACAAGCCUACCGAACUUAGAGAUAGCUGGUUGUUCGAGAAAAGAAUAUGAGUUCCCCCUCAAGUUGCCCAAUUGUACCAAACAAUGAACCCGACUUAAGAGCCAUUCAAGUAGGGCACAGCUUGCUUGAAAAAGGAUACAACCUAGAACAUAGGGUAAACUAUUACCUCUUAUAAUUAAGUUGGCCUGAAAGCAGCCACCUUCCAAAAAGCGUCAAAGCUUAAUUAUCUCGCCCCUCAAUACCACAACCCACACUGAACCCUUAAUUUGUACCGAACGACUCCAUACUAUUAUGGAAGACACUAUGUCUAAACUAGUAAUAAGAAAAUGCCUUUCUCCAAAGUGCAAGUAUAAACCAGCAUUGACCAACUACUGGUAAUUAACGCUCAUGAAGCCACUAUAGUAACACCCUAAGAAAAACCUAUUUUCUCCCCCGUUGACCUUACACUAGAGCACUAAUGGAAAGAUUAAAAGGAAAAGAAGGAACUCGGCAAAUUUAG